GAUGAAGAACGCAGCGAAAUGCGAUAAGUAAUGUGAAUUGCAGAAUUCAGUGAAUCAUCGAAUCUUUGAACGCACCUUGCGCUCCUUGGUAUUCCGAGGAGCAUGCCUGUUUGAGUGUCAUGAAUCUCUCAAACUCUUAGUUUCAUUACUGAGUGUUUGGAUUUGGAGGUCUAUGCUGGCGCAAGUCAGCUCCUCUUAAAUACAUUAGCUUGGGUCUUGCAUGUCUGGAUCCUUGGUGUGAUAAUUAUCUACGCCAUGAUGUCCUUUCAAGCCCUGCUUCUAAUCGUCUGAAUAAGACAAUUUAUUACUUGACAUCUGACCUCAAAUCAGGUAGGACUACCCGCUGAACUUAAGCAUAUCAAUAAGCGGAGGA
Molecule: unclassified non-coding RNA, 373 nt
Filed under: soil metagenome
Description: partial contains 5.8S ribosomal RNA, internal transcribed spacer 2, and large subunit ribosomal RNA
Rfam family: 5.8S ribosomal RNA (bases 1-120)
Source: RNAcentral